UUAGGCACUGCAGAAAAAGGAUUCAUCUGGAUUACUUCAUUUUAUUUAUCUUUCAAUGCAAAUUUACAGAAAACUCUCAGAGACAUCUUGACUUUUUUUUGUCUUCAAUGAUUACUCUUAAAUCAGUCCUCAAAUAUUUGUAAUAAUCUUUUGAUGAAACUUGCUCAUAGUGUUUGAUGACUGCUGUUUGAUGUUUGGUAUUUGUACUUGCAUUGUGUUUUGUUUUUAGUUAUGGAUCAAACAAGAACCAAGAGUUGAAAAGUCAAUCUCCAGUAAGCAGGGCUAAGGCAUUCACCUGGGCCUGGAACACACUGGAGGAAUGGAACAGAACAGGAGCAGGUCUCAUCUUGUGCAGGGAGAGGCUGGCACACCCUUUACACACGCACAAUAAACAGAUACAUUCCCUCUAUAAGUAUGUCAUUCUUCUCUCCUCAGUGUUUCCUCAGUGUUUUAUGUUCCAUUUUGACUCAUUUUGUGUUUUGUUUUCUGAUAAGGUUCCAAGGAGUACUCAGCUAUGAAUUGGGGCAAAGGAAAAGACUCAUAGGCUGACUGGAAUUAGCCAUGCAUUCUAUCCUUCAUUCCACCGGAGUCUGUGGCAUGAACCAUUCAGAUUUCAGUGUUGUGAAGAGUAAGAAACAUGGACUUUAUCGUCAAUAGAAAAGAUUAGAGAAUUGGAUUCUCUACUCUGUMACUAUGGACUCAAAUCAGUAACUUAAAUGAAUUUAACAUUGUUUUCAGCAUUGUACUGCAGACAUACUGUAUAUAAAAAAACAUUAGGAGUAUUUUUUACAUAGAUCAGUAAAGAAUCAAAGCCUGACGGAGCGGUGCAAACAUGAAUAAAGUGUUACUACCUGCAUUAGAUUUAAUUUA
Long non-coding RNA from Salvelinus sp. IW2-2015, 870 nucleotides. RefSeq lists it as uncharacterized. Lineage: Eukaryota; Metazoa; Chordata; Actinopteri; Salmoniformes; Salmonidae. The record is from RefSeq and is a predicted model, not a curated record.